This 234-nucleotide long non-coding RNA is filed under the name Solanum tuberosum (potato). RNAcentral describes it as "long non-coding RNA (STUB_LNC008113)". The record is from RNAcentral. Lineage: Eukaryota; Viridiplantae; Streptophyta; Magnoliopsida; Solanales; Solanaceae.
GUAAAUCUACCAUUGAAAUCUUCUAAAAUGGUUAGAAUUAGGGUAUAAACAACAUCUUCUUUAUUCCUUACUAGAGCCAUGCCUAAGUUAUCAACUCCUUCGUUAUCAGCCUUAGCAUUAACCACAGCAGCUUUUGCCUCAAAGCUCAUAUAAUUAUCCCACCAACCUCUUGGCUAGUGAAACCUGCAAUAAUCAUUUUGCAAAUAUUUCUAACUGUAUUAUUAGUAUUUUUAC